This 406-nucleotide ribosomal RNA is filed under the name uncultured bacterium. Its description in RNAcentral is "partial 16S ribosomal RNA". It matches the Rfam family "Bacterial small subunit ribosomal RNA", at positions 30 to 526 of the family's 1533-position model. The record is from RNAcentral.
AUUGAACGCUGGCGGCAGGCCUAACACAUGCAAGUCGAACGAGUGGCGGACGGGUGAGUAAUGUCUGGGAACCUGCCCGAUGGAGGGGGAUAACUACUGGAAACGGUAGCUAAUACCGCAUACCAUCGGAUGUGCCCAGGUGGGAUUAGGUAGUUGGUGGGGUAACGGCUAACCAAGGCGACGAUCCCUAGCUGGCCUGAGAGGAUGACCAGCCACACUGGAAUGGAGACACGGUCCAGACUCCUACGGGAGGCAGCAGUGGGGAAUAUUGCACAAUGGGCGCAAGCCUGACACAGCCAUGCCGCGUGAAUGAAGAAGGCCUUCGGGUUGUAAAGUACUUUCAGCGGGGAGGCGUUACCCACAGAAGAAGCACCGGCUAACUCCGUGCCAGCAGCCGCGGUAAUAC